UGGGGCCUUGGGGCAGAGAAGCUGAGAGCCCAUGAUCGAUUCAUCUGCUUGCUGAUCUCAUCAGUUAAAAUAUUGAGAAAGAUUGAAACGUUGGGAUGAGUGCAAAAGGUGAGGGAGUUUUCAGUGCCAUCUACCAGCCCUCUGACUCAUUGCUACCAAGGGGAGCUCCAUGUGUUCAGACAGUCUCUCUCUCCCCUAAUGCUGUCGGAGGGUGGUACCAAAGUUCUUGGUCUGUAGUUUGAGAAUUGGACUGUUUUUUUGUGUUUCUGUGUUUUUGCUUGUUCUUUCUUGAUGUGUGUGCGCAAUUUGUUUUUUUUAUAUGUGAGGGGGAGUUGAGGUUCUUGGUGCAGUUGGCACAAUUAGUUUUUCUUUGGUGGGGGUUGAUGUUUUUUCUUUGAAAAGGUUCAGUGGUUUUACUUGUUUCAUCACUGUCCAUGGCAAUCUGGAGAAGACAAGUCUCACAGCUUUAUACUGCAGACAUACUUUGAGAAGUAUACUUCGAACUUUGAACCUGAGCCUGAUGGUGUUGGAUUUCAGGCUUUCAUAACUCCUGCCCAAUGGUGGCAGCAAGAAGAGCACACAGAUGGCCUGGUUCAUGGGGAUCCUUGAUGAUAUAUGCCACCUUGUUGAGACAGCACCUCCUGUAUAUGCUAUCCUUGAUGGCGAUGGCUUGGCUUGCAAGAGUGUUGGUCUCAUCUCCGUCUGUACCUGUUGAGUUUGCUCUCCAUUUUAGUGCAGCGACUGCACCAGUCAGCCUCUUCUCUUUGAGCUCUGGAUUCCUGUGCCUGAACACUUCGAUAGUCUCCAACAUAUAGUUUGCC
This is a long non-coding RNA of Hypanus sabinus (Atlantic stingray), 821 nucleotides long. RefSeq lists it as uncharacterized. The transcript is spliced from 3 exons. The record is from RefSeq and is a predicted model, not a curated record. Lineage: Eukaryota; Metazoa; Chordata; Chondrichthyes; Myliobatiformes; Dasyatidae.